CACCAACACUGCAGCACCACCACCUCCACCAACACCGCAGCACCACCACCAUUGUAGCCCCUCCACCACCGCUGCACCACAUCGGAAAAUGCUAACGAAGAAUGAAAGCCAAAUCGGAGACGAUUAAGGCUUACCCAAACAUGCCCUAAAGCUUACCUGUGACUACUACCUUACAUCGUUGUUGUCAGCCACUAUUUACCUGCACUAGUUGCUGUUGAAGUUUGCUUUUUAAAUCAGAAAAUUUUUGGGGAUGUGAAUCAAAUAGAUUUGGGGGAUGUGAAAGAUUAUAGAUCUGGUUUUGGGGAUUUUGGGGGACGGUGGUGAUUCAGAUAUGGGGGGCUGGUGAUUCAGAAGAUGCGGAGGGUCGAUCCAGACUUUAGAAGAUAUAGGGGUUACUUGGAGAUUGGUGUCAAAAAGUGUAUAAAACCAGUGUAGUACCCUCUUGUAUGAGAGUUGAAUGUUUAGUAGGUUCAGUUUAAUCCUUGUAUUUUUAUUCUCAUCGACAAGUAUCAUCAUUUUUUAAGCUGUACACACACUUUUUUCUGAACUUUGACUUUUUUUUUGUGGUACAAAGAUGAGUUUGGCUCCAAAACCAAGAGGCUAAAAGGAAUUGGUAUUGGUGCUUCUGACGUUCCUAUUUCCCUUGAUGACUUCCGGAAACUUCAACGAUCAGACUUGGAAUUAAGGAAGCACUUGGAAGAUCAAGUUGCAACCAUUGACCAAUUACAGAAUGAACACUGUGUAGCCACUGAGCUUCAUGAAAGUUGUAUUAGCUUUAUUGGGAGAGAUAGAGACAAAGAAGAGAGAGAAAUUUAAAUAAAUUAAUUUUUUUAUUUUUUAAUGGAGGGGUAAUUUGGUCAUUUAACAAAACUUAACUACAAAAUUCUAACUGUGUUAGAAAAUUGGACUCAAAUGGUUAAGAAAAAUGCUUAUAGGGACUCAGGGCGU
This 948-nucleotide long non-coding RNA is filed under the name Helianthus annuus (common sunflower). Lineage: Eukaryota; Viridiplantae; Streptophyta; Magnoliopsida; Asterales; Asteraceae. The record is from RNAcentral.